UAGGGAAUCUUCCACAAUGGACGAAAGUCUGAUGGAGCAACGCCGCGUGAGUGAAGAAGGGUUUCGGCUGUAAAACUCUGUUGUUAAAGAAGAACAUAUCUGAGAGUAACUGUUCAGGUAUUGACGGUAUUUAACCAGAAAGCCACGGCUAACUACGUGCUAG
Molecule: ribosomal RNA, 163 nt
Filed under: uncultured bacterium
Lineage: Bacteria
Description: partial 16S rRNA
Rfam family: Bacterial small subunit ribosomal RNA
Source: RNAcentral